Molecule: ribosomal RNA, 485 nt
Filed under: uncultured bacterium
Lineage: Bacteria
Description: bacterial SSU rRNA
Rfam family: Bacterial small subunit ribosomal RNA
Source: RNAcentral
ACAUGCAAGUCGAGGGGCAGCAUGGCUUAGCUUGCUAAGACUGACGGCGACCGGCGCACGGGUGAGUAACGCGUAUCCGACCUCCCCAGGUAGGGAACAGCCCGGCGAAAGUCGGGAUUAAUGCCCUAUAGUCUGCGAAUUGCGCAUGGUUGUUUGCAGUAAAGAUUUAUCGCCUUGGGAUGGGGAUGCGUCUGAUUAGCUUGUCGGCGGGGUAACGGCCCACCGAGGCAACGAUCAGUAGGGGUUCUGAGAGGAGGGUCCCCCACACUGGUACUGAGACACGGACCAGACUCCUACGGGAGGCAGCAGUGAGGAAUAUUGGGUCAAUGGGCGCGGAGCCUGAACCAGCCAAGUAGCGUGCAGGGAACGACGGCCCUAUGGGGUUGUAAACUGCUUUUUAUGCGGGGGAUAAACGUGCGCCACGUCGCUGGUGUAUUGCAGGUACCGCAUGAAUAAGGACCGGCUAAUUCCGUGCCAGCAGCGGC